RNAcentral lists this ribosomal RNA (490 nucleotides) under Salmonella enterica. RNAcentral's name for it is "bacterial SSU rRNA". It matches the Rfam family "Bacterial small subunit ribosomal RNA", at positions 1 to 480 of the family's 1533-position model. RNAcentral also lists the same sequence under 1 other name. The record is from RNAcentral. Lineage: Bacteria; Pseudomonadati; Pseudomonadota; Gammaproteobacteria; Enterobacterales; Enterobacteriaceae.
AAAUUGAAGAGUUUGAUCAUGGCUCAGAUUGAACGCUGGCGGCAGGCCUAACACAUGCAAGUCGAACGGUAACAGGAAGCAGCUUGCUGCUUCGCUGACGAGUGGCGGACGGGUGAGUAAUGUCUGGGAAGCUGCCUGAUGGAGGGGGAUAACUACUGGAAACGGUGGCUAAUACCGCAUAACGUCGCAAGACCAAAGAGGGGGACCUUCGGGCCUCUUGCCAUCAGAUGUGCCCAGAUGGGAUUAGCUAGUUGGUGAGGUAACGGCUCACCAAGGCGACGAUCCCUAGCUGGUCUGAGAGGAUGACCAGCCACACUGGAACUGAGACACGGUCCAGACUCCUACGGGAGGCAGCAGUGGGGAAUAUUGCACAAUGGGCGCAAGCCUGAUGCAGCCAUGCCGCGUGUAUGAAGCAGGCCUUCGGGUUGUAAAGUACUUUCAGCGGGGAGGAAGGUGUUGUGGUUAAUAACCACAGCAAUUGACGUUACCC